GUGGGGAAUAUUGGACAAUGGGCGAAAGCCUGAUCCAGCAAUGCCGCGUGAGUGAUGAAGGCCCUAGGGUUGUAAAGCUCUUUUACCCGGGAUGAUAAUGACAGUACCGGGAGAAUAAGCUCCGGCUAACUCCGUGCCAGCAGCCGCGGUAAUACGGAGGGAGCUAGCGUUGUUCGGAAUUACUGGGCGUAAAGCGCGCGUAGGCGGUUUUCCAAGUCAGGGGUGAAAGCCCGGGGCUCAACCCCGGAAUAGCCCUUGAAACUGGAAGACUAGAAUCUUGGAGAGGUCAGUGGAAUUCCGAGUGUAGAGGUGAAAUUCGUAGAUAUUCGGAAGAACACCAGUGGCGAAGGCGACUGACUGGACAAGUAUUGACGCUGAGGUGCGAAAGCGUGGGGAGCAAACAGGAUUAGAUACCCGGGUAGUCC
RNAcentral lists this ribosomal RNA (425 nucleotides) under uncultured bacterium. RNAcentral's name for it is "partial 16S ribosomal RNA". It matches the Rfam family "Bacterial small subunit ribosomal RNA", at positions 354 to 796 of the family's 1533-position model. The record is from RNAcentral.